This 836-nucleotide ribosomal RNA is filed under the name Lactiplantibacillus plantarum. Its description in RNAcentral is "bacterial SSU rRNA". It matches the Rfam family "Bacterial small subunit ribosomal RNA", at positions 56 to 862 of the family's 1533-position model. The record is from RNAcentral. Lineage: Bacteria; Bacillati; Bacillota; Bacilli; Lactobacillales; Lactobacillaceae.
UGCAGUCGACGACUCUGGUAUUGAUUGGUGCUUGCAUCAUGAUUUACAUUUGAGUGAGUGGCGAACUGGUGAGUAACACGUGGGAAACCUGCCCAGAAGCGGGGGAUAACACCUGGAAACAGAUGCUAAUACCGCAUAACAACUUGGACCGCAUGGUCCGAGUUUGAAAGAUGGCUUCGGCUAUCACUUUUGGAUGGUCCCGCGGCGUAUUAGCUAGAUGGUGGGGUAACGGCUCACCAUGGCAAUGAUACGUAGCCGACCUGAGAGGGUAAUCGGCCACAUUGGGACUGAGACACGGCCCAAACUCCUACGGGAGGCAGCAGUAGGGAAUCUUCCACAAUGGACGAAAGUCUGAUGGAGCAACGCCGCGUGAGUGAAGAAGGGUUUCGGCUCGUAAAACUCUGUUGUUAAAGAAGAACAUAUCUGAGAGUAACUGUUCAGGUAUUGACGGUAUUUAACCAGAAAGCCACGGCUAACUACGUGCCAGCAGCCGCGGUAAUACGUAGGUGGCAAGCGUUGUCCGGAUUUAUUGGGCGUAAAGCGAGCGCAGGCGGUUUUUUAAGUCUGAUGUGAAAGCCUUCGGCUCAACCGAAGAAGUGCAUCGGAAACUGGGAAACUUGAGUGCAGAAGAGGACAGUGGAACUCCAUGUGUAGCGGUGAAAUGCGUAGAUAUAUGGAAGAACACCAGUGGCGAAAGCGGCUGUCUGGUCUGUAACUGACGCUGAGGCUCGAAAGUAUGGGUAGCAAACAGGAUUAGAUACCCUGGUAGUCAUACCGUAACGAUGAUGCUAAGUGUUGGAGGGUUUCCGCCCUUCAGUGCUGCAGCUAACGCAUUA